RNAcentral lists this ribosomal RNA (374 nucleotides) under uncultured organism. RNAcentral describes it as "partial 16S ribosomal RNA". It matches the Rfam family "Bacterial small subunit ribosomal RNA", at positions 527 to 896 of the family's 1533-position model. The record is from RNAcentral.
GUAGGUGGCAAGCGUUGUCCGGAAUUAUUGGGGCGUAAAGCGCGCGCAGGCGGUCCUUUAAGUCUGAUGUGAAAGCCCACGGGCUCAACCGUGGAGGGUCAUUGGAAACUGGAGAACUUGAGUACAGAAGAGGAAAGCGGAAUUCCACGUGUAGCGGUGAAAUGCGUAGAGAUGUGGAGGAACACCAGUGGCGAAGGCGGCUUUCUGGUCUGUAACUGACGCUGAGGCGCGAAAGCGUGGGGAGCAGACAGGAUUAGAUACCCUGGUAGUCCACGCCGUAAACGAUGAGUGCUAAGUGUUAGGGGGGUUUCCGCCCCUUAGUGCUGCAGCUAACGCAUUAAGCACUCCGCCUGGGGAGUACGGCCGCAAGGCUG